ACAGAGGCGGCGUGUGAAGACAUGCAAGUCGAACGCUUAUUCAGCUGUAGCAAUACAGUUGAGUAGGAGUGGCGCAAGGGUGCGUAACACGUGGGUAAUUUGCCAUGAAGUUGGGGAUAACUUGCUGAAAGGCGAGCUAAUACCGAAUGUGGUUUUUGGGAGGCAUCUCCUGGAUACUAAAGUUGGGGAUCGUAAGACCUGACGCUUUAUGAUAAGCCCGCGGCCUAUCAGCUAGUUGGUGAGGUAACGGCUCACCAAGGCUAAGACGGGUAGCUGGUCUGAGAGGACGACCAGCCACACUGGAACUGAGACACGGUCCAGACACCUACGGGUGGCAGCAGUCGAGAAUUUUUCUCAAUGGGCGAAAGCCUGAAGGAGCGACGCCGCGUGGGGGAUGAAGGGUUUCGAUCCGUAAACCCCUGUCAUUUGUGAACAAUGUUUAUUUGUGAAUAACAGGUAAAUUGAUAGUAGCGAAAGAGGAAGGGACGGCUAACUCUGUGCCAGCAGCCGCGGUAAUACAGAGGUCCCAAGCGUUGUUCGGAUUCACUGGGCGUAAAGGGUGCGUAGGUGGUGGGGUAAGUUUGAUGUGAAAUCUCCGAGCUUAACUCGGAAAUGGCAUUGAAUACUAUUCGACUAGAGGUUUGGAGGGGGGACUGGAAUUCUCGGUGUAGCAGUGAAAUGCGUAGAUAUCGAGAGGAACACCGGUGGCGAAGGCGAGUCCCUGGACAACACCUGACACUGAGGCACGAAAGCUAGGGGAGCAAACAGGAUUAGAUACCCUGGUAGUCCUAGCCCUAAACGGUGCACGUUUGCUGUAAGAGGAAUCGACCCCUUUUGUGGCGUAGCUAACGCGAUAAACGUGCCGCCUGGGGAGUACGGUCGCAAGAUUAAAACUCAAAGGAAUUGACGG
This 910-nucleotide ribosomal RNA is filed under the name uncultured bacterium. Its description in RNAcentral is "bacterial SSU rRNA". It matches the Rfam family "Bacterial small subunit ribosomal RNA", at positions 33 to 916 of the family's 1533-position model. The record is from RNAcentral.